AAAUAGAUACCCCCGGUAGUCCACGCCGUAAACGAUGAAUACUAGGUGUGGGGGUUUCAACACCUCCGUGCCGCCGCUAACGCAUUAAGUAUUCCGCCUGGGGAGUACGGUCGCAAGAUUAAAACUCAAAGGAAUUGACGGGGACCCGCACAAGUAGCGGAGCAUGUGGUUUAAUUCGAAGCAACGCGAAGAACCUUACCUACACUUGACAUCCCUUGCAUUACUCUUAAUCGAGGAAAUCCCUUCGGGGACAAGGUGACAGGUGGUGCAUGGUUGUCGUCAGCUCGUGUCGUGAGAUGUUGGGUUAAGUCCCGCAACGAGCGCAACCCUUGUCGUUAGUUACUACCAUUAAGUUGAGGACUCUAGCGAGACUGCCUGGGUUAACCAGGAGGAAGGUGGGGAUGACGUCAAAUCAUCAUGCCCCUUAUGUGUAGGGCUACACACGUGCUACAAUGGCUGGUACAGAGAGAUGCAAUACCGCGAGGUGGAGCCAAACUUAAAACCAGUCUCAGUUCGGAUUGUAGGCUGAAACUCGCCUACAUGAAG
Molecule: ribosomal RNA, 546 nt
Filed under: uncultured bacterium
Lineage: Bacteria
Description: bacterial SSU rRNA
Rfam family: Bacterial small subunit ribosomal RNA
Source: RNAcentral